This 253-nucleotide unclassified non-coding RNA is filed under the name uncultured Myxococcales bacterium. Its description in RNAcentral is "contains 16S-23S intergenic spacer region". It matches the Rfam family "Bacterial small subunit ribosomal RNA", at positions 524 to 776 of the family's 1533-position model. Lineage: Bacteria; Pseudomonadati; Myxococcota; Myxococcia; Myxococcales. The record is from RNAcentral.
GACAGAGGGUGCAAGCGUUGUUCGGAAUCAUUGGGCGUAAAGGGCGCGUAGGCGGCCUUGCAAGUCGGAUGUGAAAGCCCGGGGCUCAACCUCGGACGUGCAUCCGAUACUGCUUGGCUUGAGUGCCGGAGAGGGUGGUGGAAUUCCCAGUGUAGAGGUGAAAUUCGUAGAUAUUGGGAGGAACACCGGUGGCGAAGGCGACCACCUGGACGGUGACUGACGCUGAGGCGCGAAAGCGUGGGUAGCAAACAGG